This 520-nucleotide ribosomal RNA is filed under the name uncultured Glomeromycotina. RNAcentral describes it as "SSU rRNA". It matches the Rfam family "Eukaryotic small subunit ribosomal RNA", at positions 569 to 1090 of the family's 1831-position model. The record is from RNAcentral. Lineage: Eukaryota; Fungi; Glomeromycota.
AGCAGCCGCGGUAAUUCCAGCUCCAAUAGCGUAUAUUAAAGUUGUUGCAGUUAAAAAGCUCGUAGUUGAAUUUCGGGGUCAGUAGGUUGGUCAUGCUUUCGGUAUGUACUGGUCUCACUGAUUCCUCCCUCUUGAAGAACCGUAAUGUCAUUAAUUUGAUGUUGCGGGGAAACAGGACUGUUACUUUGAAAAAAUUAGAGUGUUUAAGGCAGGCUCACGCUUGAAUACAUUAGCAUGGAAUAAUGAAAUAGGACGUUCGAUCCUAUUUUGUUGGUUUCUAGGAGUGACGUAAUGAUUAAUAGGGAUAGUUGGGGGCAUUAGUAUUCAAUUGUCAGAGGUGAAAUUCUUGGAUUUAUUGAAGACUAACUACUGCGAAAGCAUUUGCCAAGGAUGUUUUCAUUAAUCAAGAACGAAAGUUAGGGGGAUCGAAGACGAUCAGAUACCGUCGUAGUCUUAACCAUAAACUAUGCCGACUAGGGAUCGGAUGAUGUUAAUUUUUAAUGACUCAUUCGGCGCCUUA